GUCUUCCAAACGCUUAUCCUGGACAGAGUCCCGUCUCCUACCUCCUAAAAACAACAGUCACCAGGGCCGCCAACUUCGUUCAGCUGGCUGAAGUGAGAUUUUCAAUUUGAGACAGGGGGUGGGUUACAGUACCCUUACUUCGUAGGAGAUGGACAUGCGCUGCCCUCCUUGGGCCUGAAGAUGAGGAGAGCACCAGCAAAGCGACCCUGGUCACCCAAACACCAAACAGAAG
Brienomyrus brachyistius is the source of this 232-nucleotide long non-coding RNA. RefSeq lists it as uncharacterized. Lineage: Eukaryota; Metazoa; Chordata; Actinopteri; Osteoglossiformes; Mormyridae. The transcript has 3 exons. The record is from RefSeq and is a predicted model, not a curated record.